UUUUUAACACUCUUAUUGAAUAUUAAAGUAAAGAGUAUUAAUUGCUAAGCAGCAACAACCUAUAAUAGUCUGAAAUAACAUAUAUGAAAGCACCUACAAUUUAUAGGUCAUAGUAUGUUCUGAAAAGUGUAAUAGACAGCUAUAGACAGUAACUGCUGACAGCAACAUAAUCAGUGAGAGAAUAUUGUCUUUUAAUUAUUUGAUGAUGGGGGG
RNAcentral lists this long non-coding RNA (213 nucleotides) under Mytilus galloprovincialis (Mediterranean mussel). The record is from RNAcentral. Lineage: Eukaryota; Metazoa; Mollusca; Bivalvia; Mytilida; Mytilidae.